RNAcentral lists this non-coding RNA (109 nucleotides) under Alligator mississippiensis (American alligator). RNAcentral describes it as "Eukaryotic large subunit ribosomal RNA". It matches the Rfam family "Eukaryotic large subunit ribosomal RNA", at positions 1219 to 1327 of the family's 3401-position model. The record is from Rfam by way of RNAcentral. Lineage: Eukaryota; Metazoa; Chordata; Crocodylia; Alligatoridae.
AGAACUUUUUUGAUAUAAACAGCAGGACGGUGGCCAUGGAAGUUAGAAUCCGCUAAGGAGUGUGUAACAACUCACCUGCCGAAUCAACUAGCCCUGAAAAUGGAUGGCG